GAUGAGGAACGUAGCGAAAUGCGAUAAGUAAUGUGAAUUGCAGAAUUCAGUGAAUCAUCGAAUCUUUGAACGCACAUUGCGCCCGCCAGCAUUCUGGCGGGCAUGCCUGUUCGAGCGUCAUUUCAACCCUCGAGCCCCCCCGGGGGCCUCGGUGUUGGGGGACGGCACACCAGCCGCCCCCGAAAUGCAGUGGCGACCCCGCCGCAGCCUCCCCUGCGUAGUAGCACACACCUCGCACCGGAGCGCGGAGGCGGUCACGCCGUAAAACGCCCAACUUUCUUAGAGUUGACCUCGGAUCAGGUAGGAAUACCCGCUGAACUUAAGCAUAUCAAUAAGCGGAGGA
RNAcentral lists this unclassified non-coding RNA (343 nucleotides) under soil metagenome. RNAcentral's name for it is "partial contains 5.8S ribosomal RNA, internal transcribed spacer 2, and large subunit ribosomal RNA". The stretch from base 1 to 120 matches the Rfam family "5.8S ribosomal RNA", at positions 35 to 154 of the family's 154-position model. The record is from RNAcentral.